Long non-coding RNA from Ipomoea nil (Japanese morning glory), 223 nucleotides. RefSeq lists it as uncharacterized. The record is from RefSeq and is a predicted model, not a curated record. The transcript has 3 exons. NCBI's taxonomy places the organism in Eukaryota, Viridiplantae, Streptophyta, Magnoliopsida, Solanales, Convolvulaceae.
AGCAUCUACCAAUCCACUUAGCUUAUGAAGCAAGGAUUGUUGGUCCGGUUCAAUAUAGGUGGAUGUAUCCAUUUGAGAGGUUGAUGCCUUCUCACCCAUGUUCAGUUACAAUAACAAAAAUAUUCAUGAAAAUGAUCCAUCCGAAUGGAUAUAAUUGGAAGAGUGUGCCUAAUGAGUACAAAGAGACAUACUUUGACGAAUUGAAGAAAUUUUACAAGUGGGA